UCUGUUUAAUUUGCUCGAUGAAGUUACUUUAACUGCUCGAGUAUCGAACAAUAGCGAAUUAGCGAUACACUCUUGUUGCAUUAGCCAUGUGCUCGUGUCACACGGUAACAUUUUUAAGUUGCAAACCACUCCUACUUGCCUGCAUCCCCUGCCCCUUUAUUUCUCCGAGAACCAGGACCAAAUUAAAAGAAGAAAAAGAAGGUGGAAAUGAAACAUAUAUAGGAGUAGGAAAUUAAACAAAAGGUACCCACGGUUGUGUUUCGCAUCUUAGCCUGCCUAAACUGAUGUUCGACCGAUACCGAUGGCUCCUAAAACUACUUUUGCACGA
Molecule: long non-coding RNA, 328 nt
Filed under: Sorghum bicolor (sorghum)
Lineage: Eukaryota; Viridiplantae; Streptophyta; Magnoliopsida; Poales; Poaceae
Description: long non-coding RNA (SBIC_LNC011262)
Source: RNAcentral